GUACCCUCAAGCUUUGCUUGGUGUUGGGCGUUUUGUCUUUUUUAUCAAGACUCGCCUUAAAGUAAUUGGCAGCCAGUGUUUUGGUAGUAAGCGCAGCACAUUUUGCGUCUUAGUUCUUUAACAACGGCAUCCAUAAAGCCUCUUUCUCAC
This 150-nucleotide unclassified non-coding RNA is filed under the name uncultured Stagonospora. RNAcentral's name for it is "sequence contains ITS2". Lineage: Eukaryota; Fungi; Ascomycota; Dothideomycetes; Pleosporales; Pleosporaceae. The record is from RNAcentral.